RNAcentral lists this non-coding RNA (727 nucleotides) under Ugnius badius. The record is from RNAcentral. Lineage: Eukaryota; Metazoa; Arthropoda; Insecta; Hemiptera; Coreidae.
GUAAGAUUGAUUCUGUCUUGUUAAGUUAAUUAUUUGAUAAUAUUAAAUAUAAAUUUUUGUGUGGUGUUAAUUUGUCUAAAUGAUAAUUUUUAAUUUACUUGUAGUUUUUAUUUUUGAUUGUUUAUGUAAACAUAGAUUCAGUUAAUUUAUUUAGAGCUGUUAAAGGUUGUGCCAGCAUACGCGGUUAUACAGCCAGUUCAAGUUAAUUUUUUUUGGUAUUUAUUUAUUUUUAUAUUUGAAGGUUAAUUUAUUUUUAUAAGGUGAAAUUUUUAAUUUUAUUACAUAACUUUUGGUUUAAGAAUAUAAGAAAUUUGGAUUUUAGACUAGGAUUAGAUACCCUAUUAUUCUAAAUGUAAAAUGUUGACCAUAGUAUUAUUAGUUAUGAUCUUUAAAUUAAAAGGAUUUGGCGGUAAUUUAGUCUUUUCAGAUGAACCUGUUCUGUAAUUGAUAAUCCACGUUGGAUUUUACUUUGAUUAUUUGUUUGUAUAUCUCUGUCAUUGAGUGUUUUAUUAGAAUAUUUUCUUUAAUUAUUGAUUUAAUUAAUGUCAGGUCAAGGUGCAGCUAUAUCAAAGGUUGAAAUGGGUUACAUUUAAUGUUUAUUAAUUGGAGUAUAUUAUUGUAAUUUAUAUAUGAAAUAGGAUUUGAAGGUAAUUUUUAUUAUUUAAUAGAAAUGAUUUUAGCUCUAAAUUAUGUACACAUCGCCCGUCGUUCUCAUUAUUAAGGUGAG